UACGUAGGGAGCAAGCGUUGUUCGGAUUUACUGGGCGUAAAGGGCGCGUAGGCGGCGCGGUAAGUCACUUGUGAAAUCUCUGAGCUUAACUCAGAACGGCCAAGUGAUACUGCAGUGCUAGAGUGCAGAAGGGGCAAUCGGAAUUCUUGGUGUAGCGGUGAAAUGCGCAGAUAUCAGGAGGAACACCGAUGGCGAAGGCAGCUCGCUGGGACGGUACUGACGCUGAGACGCGAAAGCGUGGGGAGCAAACAGG
Molecule: ribosomal RNA, 253 nt
Filed under: uncultured bacterium
Lineage: Bacteria
Description: partial 16S ribosomal RNA
Rfam family: Bacterial small subunit ribosomal RNA
Source: RNAcentral